Molecule: long non-coding RNA, 636 nt
Organism: Gasterosteus aculeatus aculeatus (three-spined stickleback)
Lineage: Eukaryota; Metazoa; Chordata; Actinopteri; Perciformes; Gasterosteidae
Source: Ensembl
CAACUGGAAAUGCAAUCACACGGAGACAGACGCACACGCCCAGUGCGAGGAACGCUCUCGGGUCUCUGCACUGGAUGUGAAGCAUGUUUCGCAACAUGCUUUUAAGAAGGAAAACAACUUUCCCCUCUAAGAACCUUUGGACCCAUUAACCACUCACGCUCUCUGCUAUUAAUAGGUCAGCUAUGAUUUCUCAGAGUUGGACCUUAUCGCUCGGCUACCUACCAGACCUUCAUCACAACAUAAGGCCACGACCAUCCGAUAAAAUAACCUGAGCUUCUACGCACGUAGACCUGUAGCCGCGACGAGCGCCGUCGCCAUGGUAACGAAUGUUUCUGCCUGCUGGAUGACGACGGAGAGAGAACACGGCGUAUUGAUGACAGUGAGUUUCCUGUGACUGUGCCGGAGACGAUGGUAUGCUAAUGGCCCCCACACCUCACCAGAUGGGCUUUGUUUGUGGAUGCAGCUGCACAGGUUAGGUCAGCGGACGGCGUGUGUGUGUGUGUGUGUGUGUGUGUGUGUGUGUGUGUGUGUGUGUGUGUUCGUAUGUGUAUGAGUAGAGAGAGAGAGGGAGGGAGAAGGAUGAGAACAAAAAAAGAGAAAGACACAUUUUCUAGCUCAUUGUACCAUGUGUUUCAG